AAACAUUGGAACGAAAUUCUAGUUACGUCGGCCACCUUAAACGUUCACUCAUAACAGUGAACCUAAGGUGAAAGUAAAUUAAAAUGAGAGUGUAACUCCACACCGACAACAUAUGCACAGAUGUCGUUUUGCAUCUCUUUCUAUGCUGUAUUUGACAGUUUGACUGGCAAAAACAAAAUCACAAACAAAAGGAACAUGAAGAUUACAUUUGAACAAGGAGUUGGAAAUUUAUUUCGACCAAAAUUCACAAAAAACGGACACAUGGAUUUCACUGACCAUCUUAAAAAUUUUGGUUUUCCGUAGAAUCUAAAAAAAAAAAUCGGUAGAAAAUCGGAAAUUUUAAAAAUGCCAUCCGUGUUGAUUUCAUCUGUUUCAUAGAGAUGUAAUGAAAUAAAUUUUGUUAUAAUACAAAAAUUUUAAAUAAUUUCAAUGGCUUUAUACA
Long non-coding RNA from Malaya genurostris, 442 nucleotides. RefSeq lists it as uncharacterized. The record is from RefSeq and is a predicted model, not a curated record. NCBI's taxonomy places the organism in Eukaryota, Metazoa, Arthropoda, Insecta, Diptera, Culicidae. The transcript has 3 exons.